Molecule: long non-coding RNA, 387 nt
Organism: Acanthochromis polyacanthus (spiny chromis)
Lineage: Eukaryota; Metazoa; Chordata; Actinopteri; Pomacentridae
Exons: 4
Source: RefSeq, a predicted model, not a curated record
UCUAUAAAUUACUACAAGACUACAAUAUUCCAACAUCAAAAUUUGAUCUAAUCAGUGAUCAACAAUUAGAUAUUGAAGUGUCACAAAUAAAAACUGAACACCCAAAUGUUGGUGAAGUGAUGCUCAUGGCGCAUCUGUAUGAAGGUUCACUGCCAGACCUCCAGUGGAGACCAUCUUUGAGAGAGGCAUGGCCACCUGCUUGGCCUACGGACAGACAGGAAGCGGAAAAACACACACUAUGGGUGGAGAUUUCUCUGGAAAGAACCAAGACUGCUGGAAAGGAAUUUAUGCAUUAGCUGGAUGUAUUUGUCAUUUUGAAGAAACCCAAUUACAAGAAUUUAGAUCGACAAGUGUAUGCAGCCUUCUUUCAAAUCUACAAUGAAAAGG